RNAcentral lists this transfer RNA (68 nucleotides) under Marmota monax (woodchuck). Its description in RNAcentral is "tRNA.Gly". Lineage: Eukaryota; Metazoa; Chordata; Mammalia; Rodentia; Sciuridae. The record is from RNAcentral.
GGAUUGUGGCUCAGUGGUAGAACACUUACCUACCAUGCAUGAGGCACUGGAUUCGAUCCCCAGCACCA